GACUUAGCAUAUCAAUAAGCGGAGGAAAAGAAACCAACAGGGAUUGCCCUAGUAACGGCGAGUGAAGCGGCAACAGCUCAAAUUUGAAAUCUGGCGUCUUUGGCGUCCGAGUUGUAAUUUGCAGAGGGCGCUUUGGCAUUGGCAGCGGUCCAAGUUCCUUGGAACAGGACGUCACAGAGGGUGAGAAUCCCGUACGUGGUCGCUAGCCUUUACCGUGUAAAGCCCCUUCGACGAGUCGAGUUGUUUGGGAAUGCAGCUCUAAAUGGGAGGUAAAUUUCUUCUAAAGCUAAAUACUGGCCAGAGACCGAUAGCGCACAAGUAGAGUGAUCGAAAGAUGAAAAGCACUUUGGAAAGAGAGUUAAAAAGCACGUGAAAUUGUUGAAAGGGAAGCGCUUGCAGCCAGACUUGCCUGUAGUUGCUCAUCCGGGUUUCUACCCGGUGCACUCUUCUAUAGGCAGGCCAGCAUCAGUUUGGGCGGUUGGAUAAAGGUCUCUGUCAUGUACCUCUCUUCGGGGAGAACUUAUAGGGGAGACGACAUGCAACCAGCCUGGACUGAGGUCCGCGCAUCUGCUAGGAUGCUGGCGUAAUGGCUGUAAGCGGCCCGUCUUGAAACACGGACCAAGGAGUCUAACAUCUAUGCGAGUGUUUGGGUGUCAAGCCCGAGCGCGUAAUGAAAGUGAACGGAGGUGGGAACCUUUCGGGGUGCACCAUCGACCGAUCCUGAUGUCUUCGGAUGGAUUUGAGUAAGAGCAUAGCUGUUGGGACCCGAAAGAUGGUGAACUAUGCUUGAAUAGGGUGAAGCCAGAGGAAACUCUGGUGGAGGCUCGCAGCGGUUCUGACGUGCAAAUCGAUCGUCAAAUUUGGGCAUAGGGGCGAAAGA
This 880-nucleotide ribosomal RNA is filed under the name Ascochyta premilcurensis. RNAcentral describes it as "eukaryotic LSU rRNA". It matches the Rfam family "Eukaryotic large subunit ribosomal RNA", at positions 31 to 930 of the family's 3401-position model. Lineage: Eukaryota; Fungi; Ascomycota; Dothideomycetes; Pleosporales; Didymellaceae. The record is from RNAcentral.